AUUGAACGCUGGCGGCAUGCCUUACACAUGCAAGUCGAACGGCAGCGCGGGGGUAACCCUGGCGGCGAGUGGCGAACGGGUGAGUAAUAUAUCGGAACGUACCCAAGAGUGGGGGAUAACGUAGCGAAAGUUACGCUAAUACCGCAUACGAUCUAAGGAUGAAAGCAGGGGACCGCAAGGCCUUGUGCUCCUGGAGCGGCCGAUAUCUGAUUAGCUAGUUGGUGGGGUAAAGGCCUACCAAGGCAUCGAUCAGUAGCUGGUCUGAGAGGACGACCAGCCACACUGGGACUGAGACACGGCCCAGACUCCUACGGGAGGCAGCAGUGGGGAAUUUUGGACAAUGGGGGGCAACCCUGAUCCAGCAAUGCCGCGUGAGUGAAGAAGGCCUU
This 389-nucleotide ribosomal RNA is filed under the name uncultured bacterium. Its description in RNAcentral is "bacterial SSU rRNA". It matches the Rfam family "Bacterial small subunit ribosomal RNA", at positions 30 to 418 of the family's 1533-position model. The record is from RNAcentral.